ACGGGGGCCCGCACAAGCGGAGGAGCAUGUGGUUUAAUCGAUGAUACGCGAGGAACCUUACCUGGGCUCGAACGUAAGAUGACUGUAGGUGAAAGCUUACAUCUCUUCGGAGCAUUUUACGAGGUGCUGCAUGGUUGUCGUCAGCUCGUGCCGUGAGGUGUCGGGUUAAGUCCCAUAACGAGCGCAACCCUACCUUUAGUUGCCAUCAGGUAAUGCUGGGGACUCUAAAGGAACUGCCUACGCAAGUAGUGAGGAAGGCGGGGAUGACGUCAAAUCAGCACGGCCCUUACGUCCAGGGCUACACACGUGCUACAAUGGCCGAUACAGAGGGCAGCUACCUGGUGACAGGAUGCAAAUCUCCAAAGUCGGUCUCAGUUCGGAUCGGAGUCUGCAACCCGACUCCGUGAAGUUGGAUUCGCUAGUAAUCGCGCAUCAGCCAUGGCGCGGUGAAUACGUUCCCGGGCCUU
This 467-nucleotide ribosomal RNA is filed under the name uncultured Sphingobacteriales bacterium. RNAcentral describes it as "bacterial SSU rRNA". It matches the Rfam family "Bacterial small subunit ribosomal RNA", at positions 913 to 1382 of the family's 1533-position model. Lineage: Bacteria; Pseudomonadati; Bacteroidota; Sphingobacteriia; Sphingobacteriales. The record is from RNAcentral.